This 73-nucleotide transfer RNA is filed under the name Camelus bactrianus (Bactrian camel). It matches the Rfam family "tRNA". From Rfam's summary of the family: Transfer RNA (tRNA) molecules are approximately 80 nucleotides in length. Lineage: Eukaryota; Metazoa; Chordata; Mammalia; Artiodactyla; Camelidae. The record is from Rfam by way of RNAcentral. RNAcentral also lists the same sequence under 2 other names.
GAGGGUACAGCUAAAGCGGUAGAGCACAUGCUUAGCAAGCAUGAGGUCCUGGGUUCAAUCCCCAGUACCUCCU